UUUAUCUAUUACAACAAAAAGACUGGAACCGGCCCGAAAUCUCAGAACCUAAAACCCCAACAAAGCCCUUUUAGCAUUUCACCGGUAGGAACACAUCUCUCUCAGAGUUUUCCCCGAUCCGAAAAUGGCCACUUUCGCCGCCAGGUCCGUCCUCCGCUCUGCCACUUCCUCCGCCAGAACCGCUUCCACGAGAUUCGCCGCCGGUGCCAAGCCCAAGGCCGCUCCUUCUCCCUUUCGCAUGCCCACUCAAAAACCCCUUGCUGCUCGCAUUUUCAGGUCGCCUGUUGAAAUGAGUUGUGCAGUGGAAACUAUGCUUCCUUAUCACACUGCCACUGCUACUGCGUUGCUGACUUCAAUGCUCUCUGCUACUCCUCGGAGUUAUGGUUGGACUCUUGAAGGGCAAAAGAGGACUAGAUGAAGAUCAUGAAAUGAAGUUCAAGUUAUACGAAUAUCUUCUUAUGCCGGAGUUUUAAGUAACUUAUUUGUGAAUCAUGCAGCUGGUAUUGAUUGUUGAUGAGUUAAUUUCAUAAUAAGCUUCAAGAAAACUGAAUCAGAUAGUCUGUGGGACCAAAAGUUGCUUAGAUAUGAAUUUUGAAUUUCCAGUUGUAGUUGUUAAGUUGUCAGCAUCAUUCUAAUACUUGGUGUUUAAUCAGAUUGCAAUGAUGAUGUAUGAUGAAUGUCAGAGAGUUCAAGCGAAGUUUUAUAUCCAUGCAGUCUAAGCAAAUGAUAAGUAGAGUACUGAAUGAGAACUUGGGACUCUUAGCUUUCUGUGAAUUCUGGCUUCUUUUGGACUGUAUUUUGGUAUCUAGACGUUGGAGUCCUGUGGAAGCUCAUUGUUAUUAGAUUUUGAGAGAUGUUUAAAGCCUUAAUUUGUCUCAAAAAUGUUUUUAUACAGGCCUUAAUAAUGUCAUCUUUAACCUCUGGUGUUUUAUUGACCA
Molecule: RNA transcript, 938 nt
Organism: Solanum stenotomum
Lineage: Eukaryota; Viridiplantae; Streptophyta; Magnoliopsida; Solanales; Solanaceae
Gene name: protein NUCLEAR FUSION DEFECTIVE 6, mitochondrial-like
Exons: 4
Source: RefSeq, a predicted model, not a curated record